Molecule: ribosomal RNA, 814 nt
Filed under: uncultured bacterium
Lineage: Bacteria
Description: bacterial SSU rRNA
Rfam family: Bacterial small subunit ribosomal RNA
Source: RNAcentral
GUCGAGGGGCAGCGGGGAGCAAGCUUGCUUGCUCUGCCGGCGACCGGCGCACGGGUGAGUAACACGUAUGCAACCUGCCCUCCGCAGGGGGAUAACCCGGAGAAAUCCGGACUAAUACCGCGUGGUACAUCUGUGGGGCAUCCCACGGGUGUUAAAAGGAAGCGAUUCCGGCGGAGGAUGGGCAUGCGGCGCAUUAGCUUGUUGGCGGGGUAACGGCCCACCAAGGCGACGAUGCGUAGGGGUUCUGAGAGGAAGGUCCCCCACACUGGUACUGAGACACGGACCAGACUCCUACGGGAGGCAGCAGUGAGGAAUAUUGGUCAAUGGGCGGGAGCCUGAACCAGCCAAGUCGCGUGAGGGAAGACGGUCCUAUGGAUUGUAAACCUCUUUAGGCGGGGAGCAAUGCCGGGCACGCGUGCCCGGAGGGAGAGUACCCGCAGAAUAAGCAUCGGCUAACUCCGUGCCAGCAGCCGCGGUAAUACGGAGGAUGCGAGCGUUAUCCGGAUUUAUUGGGUUUAAAGGGUGCGUAGGCGGAUUUUUAAGUCAGCGGUAAAAUGUCCGGGCUCAACCCGGGCCGGCCGUUGAAACUGGGGAUCUUGAGUGGGCGAGAAGUAUGCGGAAUGCGUGGUGUAGCGGUGAAAUGCAUAGAUAUCACGCAGAACUCCGAUUGCGAAGGCAGCAUACCGGCGCCCGACUGACGCUGAGGCACGAAAGCGUGGGGAUCGAACAGGAUUAGAUACCCUGGUAGUCCACGCAGUAAACGAUGAAUGCUAGUUGUCCGGUUCUUUGGGACUGGGUGACACAGCGAAAGCGU